CGGCCCCGGGUUUCUGGGAACCGGUUUGGCUGCUGUGUCAUUUUGUACCAGCCCCUCCUUUUCCCUGCUGCCCGCCG
MicroRNA precursor from Bison bison bison, 77 nucleotides. The record is from Ensembl. NCBI's taxonomy places the organism in Eukaryota, Metazoa, Chordata, Mammalia, Artiodactyla, Bovidae.